UAAUACGGAGGGUGCAAGCGUUAAUCGGAAUUACUGGGCGUAAAGGGUGCGUAGGUGGUUAUAUAAGUUAUCUGUGAAAUCCCCGGGCUCAACCUGGGCAGGUCAGAUGAGACUGUAUGACUCGAGUAUAGGAGAGGGUAGUGGAAUUUCCGGUGUAGCGGUGAAAUGCGUAGAGAUCGGAAGGAACACCAGUGGCGAAGGCGGCUACCUGGCCUGAUACUGACACUGAGGCACGAAAGCGUGGGGAGCAAACAGG
RNAcentral lists this ribosomal RNA (256 nucleotides) under uncultured bacterium. RNAcentral describes it as "partial 16S ribosomal RNA". It matches the Rfam family "Bacterial small subunit ribosomal RNA", at positions 521 to 776 of the family's 1533-position model. The record is from RNAcentral.